CCAGACUCCUACGGGAGGCAGCAGUGAGGAAUAUUGGUCAAUGGCCGGAAGGCUGAACCAGCCAAGUCGCGUGAGGGACGACUGCCCUAUGGGUUGUAAACCUCUUUUAUAAGGGAAGAAUAAAUGCUACGUGUAGCAUGAUGCCUGUACCUUAUGAAUAAGCAUCGGCUAACUCCGUGCCAGCAGCCGCGGUAAUACGGAGGAUGCGAGCGUUAUCCGGAUUUAUUGGGUUUAAAGGGAGCGUAGAUGGGUUGUUAAGUCAGUUGUGAAAGUUUGCGGCUCAACCGUAAAAUUGCAAUUGAUACUGGCAGUCUUGAGUACAGUUGAGGUAGGCGGAAUUCGUGGUGUAGCGGUGAAAUGCAUAGAUAUCACGCAGAACUCCGAUUGCGAAGGCAGCUUACUAAACGAUAACUGACACUGAAGCACGAAAGCGUGGGGAUCAAACAGGAUUAGAUACCCUCGUACUC
RNAcentral lists this ribosomal RNA (467 nucleotides) under uncultured bacterium. RNAcentral describes it as "bacterial SSU rRNA". It matches the Rfam family "Bacterial small subunit ribosomal RNA", at positions 331 to 795 of the family's 1533-position model. The record is from RNAcentral.